Molecule: long non-coding RNA, 560 nt
Filed under: Heterocephalus glaber (naked mole-rat)
Lineage: Eukaryota; Metazoa; Chordata; Mammalia; Rodentia; Bathyergidae
Description: lncRNA (ENSHGLG00000029576.2)
Source: RNAcentral
CGCCUUGGCCUUGGAGCCAGCCGACUAUGGACUGAAGCCUCUAAAAACAGAACAUCUCUCAUCUAUCAGGAAGUGCUUUCAUCUUCAACCAAAGGAAAAGAUCACAUGAGGAGUGAUGGCAAAGCACGGCCAGGGGAGGAAUUUCACAUGACGUGCAGAUGCUGGAGGAUGACGACACAUACUGGAGCUCACAGGAAUCGUGAGGUCCAGCGCAUCACACCUGUCUCUACGUUGUGCUUUCUGGUUCCUAGAAACAAAUACGUGUCUUGUUGUGCUAAACUUCGUCUUUUUCAACUUUACACCAUGCAUCUUGGUUUCCCUUGUACAAAAUACUAUGGAUAUAAUUCGAAGUCGACUUACUUUACCUUGUUGCAGGAUUAAUUUUAAACACAGAAUUCACAUUUCUGUUUGGAGAGUCAAAUGAAAGUCUCAUGAUCAUCAUUAUACUAAUGCAUGAAUGCAGCUGUCCAAUAACCAAGCAGGUAUUUGUCUAGUUUCUAUUCCAUUUAUUAGACUGCAAGAAAAAGAAGCAUUAAUCUACCUCUAGUGAUAUUGACAAG